GGGGAAUAUUGGACAAUGGGCGAAAGCCUGAUCCAGCAAUGCCGCGUGAGUGAUGAAGGCCUUAGGGUUGUAAAGCUCUUUUACCAGGGAUGAUAAUGACAGUACCUGGAGAAUAAGCUCCGGCUAACUCCGUGCCAGCAGCCGCGGUAAUACGGAGGGAGCUAGCGUUGUUCGGAAUUACUGGGCGUAAAGCGCACGUAGGCGGCGACUCAAGUCAGAGGUGAAAGCCCGGGGCUCAACCCCGGAACUGCCUUUGAAACUAGGUUGCUAGAAUCUUGGAGAGGUCAGUGGAAUUCCGAGUGUAGAGGUGAAAUUCGUAGAUAUUCGGAAGAACACCAGUGGCGAAGGCGACUGACUGGACAAGUAUUGACGCUGAGGUGCGAAAGCGUGGGGAGCAAAC
This 400-nucleotide ribosomal RNA is filed under the name uncultured bacterium. RNAcentral describes it as "bacterial SSU rRNA". It matches the Rfam family "Bacterial small subunit ribosomal RNA", at positions 356 to 773 of the family's 1533-position model. RNAcentral also lists the same sequence under 1 other name. The record is from RNAcentral.